GCAGGUAUGUUGUGAACGCUGACUACUGAAUCAGAUGCCUGCGCCCGUCUCUGUCUGGGCAUCAGGAACCGGCGUCAACACGAGACCUGGCCGCGGUGAAGGCUCAGUGAGGACUGCAGGACGCUGCGGCUGCCAGCUCUCCCUACGGCGCACAGGGGGCGCAGGUCGAGACAGGGCGUCCCAGCCCCCGCUCUCUCAGGAAGGCAAAGAAGGGGACCAGGCCGGCAGAGCCUCUCAGGGCAGAGCGGUGAGGAGACAGGGCCUCAGUCCUCCGGGUCCCUCCGGUGAGAGGCGGGCAGGCUCGGGUUCCGCCCCCUCCCAGGGCGGCAGUUCACAGCAUCGGCCGGCAGAGGGCAGCAGAGGCCAGCUCGUGGCAGACCAAGCCCAGGGCCUAGCGCAGAAGCGGGUCCUGGGCCUGAGUCCCGCUGGCUUCCCGGGUGCAGGCUCCACCAGGGAGAAGCAGCGGCCCUUCCUCUCUCUGGCUUGCCCUGGGGAGAGGGGCGAGAGGAGGCAAUUCCGAAAGCCCCUCAUUGUGCGGAGUGGCUUUUUCUUUCUUUUCUGCAUCACAUGCACUGAAUGCCAUUUUCCAAAGUGCUCCCAGAGGGGGCGGGCAGCCAGGUGAUUUCCCAGAAGCCGGAGGAAGAGCCACAGGACGCAAGGCCCACAUAGCUCAGGGGACUUCAGGAGGGCCACACCACUGCUGCUUACAGAACUCGGAGCUUCCUGCCUUGGCAGUCAUCCGGGGAGAAUUGUUACAGCACGGAUGCCUUAUCUGAUCUCUCCUUGGGAGCCUCCCUCCGCUCGCUCUGUGGGACUGAAGGGCUGGAGGCCUGUGCCAGUGUUAGCAAAACAUUUGGAGUCACCGAGCCUGCGACGAGAGUGGCACUGGAGCACUGGAGGUCGCAGUGCUGAGCAGGCUCUGCCUGCCUCGGCUCCCUGACCCUCAGCCAGUGUCCUCGGCUGUGAAGCAGAGGACAGACAGCCAUGGCAUGCUGUGAAUGCCCGACGUGCACCGUUGUAAUCUGUGCAGAGGCAGCAGUGAUGCCCAAGUCUCAGAGCCUGACGCCCAGUGAGCUGAACUCAGAGCACUCCCGGCCUUCUCCUCCUCGUCUUCCUGCAGCAGUGGUGCCGAAUCUACCAGACGACUCGGUCUGUCUCCACUGUGCCCUGGCUCUGGAUAAACCACGAAGGAGAGGGCACGGGGGACAGGAGGGACAGCAGGAGAGGCAAGGACCUCUGCAGGGAAUCUGAGUCCCUUAAGUACGUCAUCCCACAGAGAAAAGCCACCUGCAGUCUAUUCCAAGGGCUUUCAAAAUUACUUUAGAAGUGCAAGCAUUUACAGAAGCGGUGGCCCUGCUGAGCACCAAGCGACACAGCGGAGCAGGGCUCCUAACUAGCACCAUGGAACUGGGGAGCCAGACGGAAGAAUCCAGGCGAAAACAACUGCAGAAAAGAGGGUUGAGGGGCCCCGAGCAACUCUCCCUAAGACAGGCGACAGCAUCAUCGCCCCGAGCUGUUUCCGUACAGCCUGUUACCAUCAGCUCUGAAAAUCAGCCCAUUUUAAUACUGUAUGAGCUGAAAUCCUAUGUGCUCCAAAACAAGGUAACAGAGCCUGGAUCAAAGGACUUCGGACCCAGAGUAAUCUACCCACCUCCACUCGGCAGUUGAGUGACUUUUUCCUGGAAGAUAAGAGAUUUCCAACACGUAGGUGAAGUUUUUAUCUGUCGGUCUGGGGUCAGAACAGUAAAUCAUUAUAAUCUUUAAAAGUGAAGCUCAUAUACAUUUGUAAGUUAAUUGGAGUUGGAAAGAGUGUUCUCGAGUUUUAGGCACUCGGUCAUCAGAGGAGCCUUAUAUUGAGAGAGCUGAGUACCGAUAGCCUCAUUCGUCAAGAAACUUUUGCCAGGCAGCAUGGCACACGCUUGUAAUCCCAGCACCGAGGGAGGCAGAGGCAGGAGGAUCGGAAGUCCCAGCCCAUCUGAGCAACUUAGGGAGAUCCUGUCCCAAGAUAAAAAAUAAAAAGGAGGACUGCAGGGGUGUAGUUUAGUGGUGGGUGCCCGGAGCUCUACACUGAGCACCACGCACAGACACACGCCUGCGCACAAGCAGAAAGCGUCUGACGUAGGGAGGGGCGCAUGCCCUGACUGGGGCCUGUUCAGCUCUUAGCCCUAUGGGCCGAGCCAGUUUUCAUGUCUCCCGUGGGUUUGCUGUAGUGCUGGGGUCUCUCUCAUGGGUCCGCGUCGGUCAGAUACACACACACACACACACACACACACACACACACACACACACACACACACGUAUAAGGAAAAAGAUUUACCGAAGGAACCAUCUCCACGGCUUGGGGUCUGGAGAGUCUGAGAUUUGCAGGUGACUCCGAGCUGGAGACCAGGGAGACGCUGCAUGCGGGGCAUUUUCUCUGCUCAGGCCUACAGCGGCCUGGGAGAGGCCCCGCCCACUAGGAAAGGCCACCUGCUUUAUUCAAAGCCGUCCGUCCGGUAACACCCUGAGGGACAUGCCAAGAAAAACUGUGAGCAAGUACACGUGCUGGGGGCCAGCCAGGCAACCCGAGAACCAACCGUCCCAGCACUGCCACCCUCCUGGGCUGCACUGGCUCCUGGUGAAACCUAGCUGUGGGCUCGUGUGGCUGGAGUGUCCCCUGGGUGUGUCCUAACCAGCCCUCUUUUCUGGGGGAGCCUCUGCUUUGAACCCCUUGUCCUGGUGGGACCUGGAUGUUUCAGGAAAGUCUGAAGGUUGGGGAACUCUGGUGCUUGCUGAGCACCUGAGGGGCAGAACUGGGUCCCGGUCGGAGAUAAAGUUGCUCACUGCUCUGUAGCCCAACUGCUUUCUUCAGUUUGUCAACUUGAGGUUGAUUUCUACUGCCAAACUUGGCUAAUUUUGACAGUUUUACCCAAUUUUCGGUUUUAUAUUGUGUUCUGGCUUAUACCCAGAUGUCCCCCCAAAUCCUUAUGCACUUAUAGGUGGGGCUUUGAGGAGGUGGUUGGAUCAUGGGUGUGUGAUACUGGAUAUGGAUAUCCAUAACUGAAUAACUGGAUUAGUCCAGUAAUUGGUUUAGCAUAGUUCCUGGCAUGGAAAAUGGGAAGCCCCACCCUGGGUGUGGGUGGCAGCAACCAAUAGGCUUGUAGCCUGGAUGCAAUAAAAGGGGAAGGAGGACUUACUGCUUCCUGCCUCCUGCCUGCCUUACCAUGGACUGUUUCUCCUCUGCAUUGCCCCUCUGCCAUGAGGCCCUGCCUUAGAGUCAGCUGAGGACUGAAACCUCUACAAGCUAUGGGCUAAAAUAAGCCUUUCUUCUCCUAACUUGUGGUUGUAGGGUAUUUUGUUCCAGCAAUGAGAAAGCAACUAAAACAUAUUGUGUGUGUGUGUAGAGGAUUUGCUUAUAUCUUCACCCACCUCUCUGGAAGUCUUCCUGACCCAUGCUUUUUGAAACUUUGUGAGAAGCUCUUGUUACAGACAUUUAUACUUGUUAUAAUUUUCUGAAUUGAUCCGUUCAGCAUUAUGAAAAGCCUUUAUCUCUAGUUAGAAUCAUUGUCUUGUUCUAUUUUGUCUAAGGUUAAUGUGCCCCUUCAGCUUCAUUAAGCUUGGCUAUUCUCAUGGUGCAAUGGUACCAUGGUAUUUGUCAUUAAUUGCUUCUGGAAGGUGUAGAGUACCAAGAAGGACAAGUAUCAAACAAAUUGUUUUGGCUGGAAAGGACAGUGGGUCACCAGGCAAUGCACACCAAUAAGUGUCAAGUACCAGACAAAUGAUGAGUACCAGGACAGGAUUUUUGAAUCAAAAUGUGUUGAAAACCAAAUUCCACGAGUUUCAAAGCAGCUGAGUACCAAGGUCUGGGUGCAUUUCUUUUCUUUUUUUCUUUUUUUUUUUUUUUGCAUUUCUUUUCUUCACUCACUUUCAAUCUCUGUCUUCCUGUUAGAAUGUGUCUUUACUAUAUAGCACAUAAUUAGGUCUAGCUUGUAAGAAAACUCACUGACAGCUCUCUCACCUGGAAGGCCUUGCCCGCUCAUGCCUGCACAGCUGCUAGAACGGCUGGGUCUAAGCAUGCCGCUGUAAAAGCUGAGUGUCUGCCUUCCCCUUGAGUUUCAUUUCUCUUCACCUUUUCUCUCUUCUUUUUGCAUUAUUUGAAUCCUUUGGAAUUCUAUUUUAAC
Long non-coding RNA from Heterocephalus glaber (naked mole-rat), 4160 nucleotides. The record is from Ensembl. Lineage: Eukaryota; Metazoa; Chordata; Mammalia; Rodentia; Bathyergidae.